CGCAAAAUAAUAAUUUACAACUACAGAAAUAUCUAAAAAUUAUUUUGAACUAUAAAUUUCAAAAAAUAAUAAUUCCCCUUAAACCAAAACUAGUCAAAUAUGCAAAUAGUGUCGCAUGAAACAAUUUAAUUUUUUUUAUGUAUUUGCUUAUUUAUUUUGAACUCCUUUAAAAAAAAUCUAGGUUCCUCCAAUGCCAAAUCCGAAGCAUAUAAUAUUAGCCACGUUCAGCCUUAGUUUUUUAGAAAUUAAGAGUAACGUGUGGGGUACUUUUGUAAUUUGGAAAAACGGUUGGUCAUUAAAGAAAAUUAGAGUAACGUCUAGGACACUCUAGUAAUUUGGCAGUUGAAGUAGAAAAAUCUGGUUGGUCACGAAAGAAAAUAUAGGGUAAAGUGUAGGGUAAUAAUGGAAUUUUAAAGUGGAGUAGAAAAAGGAGUUGGUGAUUAAAGAAAUUUAGAAUAACUUGUGGGGAUAGUAAUGUAAUUUGAGAAAGAAAAUAUCUAAAGGUGAUAUUCCAGAUCGCAUCACAGGCCAUUGGGGGACCCACUAUACAGAACACGUGACAUCAACUGACAAGCCAAUACUCAUCAUCUACACGUGUUACUUAUGUGGUAUCAUCUGAUUUGCUG
RNAcentral lists this long non-coding RNA (626 nucleotides) under Solanum tuberosum (potato). RNAcentral's name for it is "long non-coding RNA (STUB_LNC004218)". The record is from RNAcentral. Lineage: Eukaryota; Viridiplantae; Streptophyta; Magnoliopsida; Solanales; Solanaceae.